UACGUAGGGGGCAAGCGUUGUCCGGAAUCAUUGGGCGUAAAGCGCGUGUAGGCGGCUCAGUAAGUCCGCUCUGAAAGCCCGGGGCUUAACCCCGGGAGGCGGGUGGAUACUGCUGAGCUUGAGUCCGGAAGAGGCGAGUGGAAUUCCCGGUGUAGCGGUGAAAUGCGCAGAUAUCGGGAGGAACACCUAUGGCGAAGGCAGCUCGCUGGGACGUUACUGACGCUGAGACGCGAAAGCGUGGGGAGCAAACAGG
RNAcentral lists this ribosomal RNA (253 nucleotides) under uncultured bacterium. Its description in RNAcentral is "partial 16S ribosomal RNA". It matches the Rfam family "Bacterial small subunit ribosomal RNA", at positions 524 to 776 of the family's 1533-position model. The record is from RNAcentral.